Molecule: long non-coding RNA, 432 nt
Organism: Ictidomys tridecemlineatus (thirteen-lined ground squirrel)
Lineage: Eukaryota; Metazoa; Chordata; Mammalia; Rodentia; Sciuridae
Source: RefSeq, a predicted model, not a curated record
UAUUAUCAUGUAGUUCCGUCUAGGCUCUUUCUGGAAGCUCUAGGGAGAAUCCACUGCCUCAUAUUUUGCAGCUUCUUGGGGCUGACUGCCUUCCCUGCCAGAGCCAGAAGUGUCCAGGUGUUACAAAUGCUAGUCCUUACCCUGGCCUGGGUGGCGGAUACAGAACCUGAACGGAGGUAUUCUCGUUCCCGCUUCCCUCCUGGAAUGCCCCCGUUUCCCCUGCAGCUGGACUUGCCUCGUCUUCCUCAGCACCUCCAACUCCUUUUCUGCAGCCACUCUCAGAUUCACACCGAUGGAUCUCCCCUCUUCAUUCUUUAUGCUGAAAUUUAUGUCUUCUCUUUUGUCCUAGCAAUAGUCUGGCUACAGUUUAUCUGUUUUAUCUUUCAAAUACUAGCUUUGGAUUUCAUUAACUAUUUCUAUUUUUAUUUUGAA